Molecule: unclassified non-coding RNA, 280 nt
Filed under: Hevea brasiliensis (rubber tree)
Lineage: Eukaryota; Viridiplantae; Streptophyta; Magnoliopsida; Malpighiales; Euphorbiaceae
Source: RNAcentral
AAUUGAGUCUUCACCCCAAGGGUCAUGUUGCUGAAAUACAUUCUUUGCCACAUGCUGGUGAUUUCACUGGUGAAAAUGAGCCAACACCAAUUCUUGAUGCAAUUGAAAGUCCCAUGAACCUAAAGAAUUUAUCAACCAAGGAACUGAAACAACUAGCUAAUGAAAUUCGAUCAGAAUUAGCUUUUAUCAUUGCAAAAUCUCAAAAACCUUCAAGUUCAAGUCUGACUGUUGUGGAGCUAACUGUUGCUAUUCACCAUGUAUUUAAUGCCCCUGUGGACAA